UACGUAGGGUGCAAGCGUUUAAUCGGAAUUACUGGGCGUAAAGCGUGCGCAGGCGGUUGUGCAAGACCGAUGUGAAAUCCCCGGGCUUAACCUGGGAAUGGCAUUGGUGACUGCAAGGCUGGAGUGCGGCAGAGGAGACUGGAAUUCCUGGUGUAGCAGUGAAAUGCGUAGAUAUCAGGAGGAAUACCGAUGGCGAAGGCAGGUCUCUGGGCCGUAACUGACGCUGAGGAGCGAAAGCAUGGGGAGCGAACAGG
RNAcentral lists this ribosomal RNA (254 nucleotides) under uncultured bacterium. RNAcentral describes it as "partial 16S ribosomal RNA". It matches the Rfam family "Bacterial small subunit ribosomal RNA", at positions 524 to 776 of the family's 1533-position model. The record is from RNAcentral.